GACGAACGCUGGCGGCGUGCUUAACACAUGCAAGUCGAACGAAGAGCGAUGGACGCUUGCUUCUCUCAAUCUUAGUGGCGAACGGGUGAGUAACGCGUAAUCAACCUGCCCUUCAGAGGGGGACAACAGUUGGAAACGACUGCUAAUACCGCAUACGAUCCAAUCUCGGCAUCGGGACUGGAUGAAAGGUGGCCUCUAUUUAUAAGCUAUCACUGAAGGAGGGGAUUGCGUCUGAUUAGCUAGUUGGAGGGGUAACGGCCCACCAAGGCGAUGAUCAGUAGCCGGUCUGAGAGGAUGAACGGCCACAUUGGGACUGAGACACGGCCCAGACUCCUACGGGAGGCAGCAGUGGGGAAUCUUACGCAAUGGACGAAAGUCUGACGGAGCAACGCCGCGUGAGUGAGGACGGCCUUCGGGUUGUAAAGCUCUGUUAAUCGGGACGAAUGGUUCUUGUGCGAAUAGUGCGAGGAUUUGACGGUACCGGAAUAGAAAGCCACGGCUAACUACGUG
Molecule: ribosomal RNA, 510 nt
Filed under: uncultured bacterium
Lineage: Bacteria
Description: partial 16S ribosomal RNA
Rfam family: Bacterial small subunit ribosomal RNA
Source: RNAcentral